UACGAAGGGGGCUAGCGUUGCUCGGAAUCACUGGGCGUAAAGCGCACGUAGGCGGACUCUUAAGUCGGGGGUGAAAUCCUGGAGCUCAACUCCAGAACUGCCUUCGAUACUGGGAGUCUUCGAGUUCGGGAGAGGUGAGUGGAACUGCGAGUGUAGAGGUGAAAUUCGUAGAUAUUCGCAAGAACACCAGUGGCGAAGGCGGCUCACUGGCCCGAUACUGACGCUGAGGUGCGAAAGCGUGGGGAGCAAACAGGAUUAGAUACCCCAGUAGUCC
Molecule: ribosomal RNA, 274 nt
Filed under: uncultured bacterium
Lineage: Bacteria
Description: partial 16S ribosomal RNA
Rfam family: Bacterial small subunit ribosomal RNA
Source: RNAcentral